GAUUCGUCACACUAUCAUUAACUGAAUCCAUAGGUUAAUGAGGCGAACCGGGGGAACUGAAACAUCUAAGUACCCCGAGGAAAAGAAAUCAACCGAGAUUCCCCCAGUAGCGGCGAGCGAACGGGGAGGAGCCCAGAGCCUGAAUCAGCAUGUGUGUUAGUGGAAGCGUCUGGAAAGGCGCGCGAUACAGGGUGACAGCCCCGUACACAAAAGCGCAUGUGCUGUGAGCUCGAUGAGUAGGGCGGGACACGUGGUAUCCUGUCUGAAUAUGGGGGGACCAUCCUCCAAGGCUAAAUACUCCUGACUGACCGAUAGUGAACCAGUACCGUGAGGGAAAGGCGAAAAGAACCCCGGCGAGGGGAGUGAAAAAGAACCUGAAACCGUGUACGUACAAGCAGUGGGAGCACAGGUUUACCUGUGUGACUGCGUACCUUUUGUAU
This 440-nucleotide ribosomal RNA is filed under the name Salmonella enterica subsp. enterica serovar Typhimurium. RNAcentral's name for it is "partial 23S ribosomal RNA". It matches the Rfam family "Bacterial large subunit ribosomal RNA", at positions 137 to 613 of the family's 2925-position model. The record is from RNAcentral. Lineage: Bacteria; Pseudomonadati; Pseudomonadota; Gammaproteobacteria; Enterobacterales; Enterobacteriaceae.